GUGAAGAACGUAGCGAAAUGCGAUAAGUAAUGUGAAUUGCAGAAUUCAGUGAAUCAUCGAAUCUUUGAACGCACAUUGCGCCCGCCAGCAUUCUGGCGGGCAUGCCUGUUCGAGCGUCAUUUCAACCCUCGAGCCCCCCCGGGGGCCUCGGUGUUGGGGGACGGCACACCAGCCGCCCCCGAAAUGCAGUGGCGACCCCGCCGCAGCCUCCCCUGCGUAGUAGCACACACCUCGCACCGGAGCGCGGAGGCGGUCACGCCGUAAAACGCCCAACUUUCUUAGAGUUGACCUCGGAUCAGGUAGGAAUACCCGCUGAACUUAAGCAUAUCAAUAAGCGGAGGA
Molecule: unclassified non-coding RNA, 342 nt
Filed under: soil metagenome
Description: partial contains 5.8S ribosomal RNA, internal transcribed spacer 2, and large subunit ribosomal RNA
Rfam family: 5.8S ribosomal RNA (bases 2-119)
Source: RNAcentral